RNAcentral lists this non-coding RNA (186 nucleotides) under Chromatiales bacterium. RNAcentral's name for it is "6S RNA". It matches the Rfam family "6S / SsrS RNA". From Rfam's summary of the family: E. coli 6S RNA was the first non coding RNA to be sequenced, but its function was unknown until recently. Lineage: Bacteria; Pseudomonadati; Pseudomonadota; Gammaproteobacteria; Chromatiales. The record is from RNAcentral.
CGCCCCCUGCGGUGUGCGUGAGCGGGUCCUGAAUGUACCUUGACCCUAAUUCACGGCCCUGGGGGCGAAGUGCCGGUGCCAGUGUGCAUGUCCGCCGGCGAGCGGAAAGCCUGCGGCACCGCCGACGCCCCCACCUGAACCUCAGGUUCAAGGGCGACGGCCCGCCACGGCACAGGCGGGGGGCGC